GUGUUCUUAUAGGUGUCCAGUCUCAGGCACGUUGAUGUUGACGUCCUGGAUGGUCUGCUUUUUCUUCUCUCUCCUAUUUCUUUAUCUCCUUGUCCUGCAUCUUAUGCCUCAUUUUGUCCAUCUCCGUCUGCCGGCCUUUUUUUUUUUUUUAAGCACAGGCAGAUGUUUUUAAGGACUGUUUUGUUGUCCUCUAAUUCUUGGAUCCUGCUGAUAAGGAUCUGUUGUUCUUUGGGGAUGGUAUCCUCCGUUUGUUGGAUCUUAGCGAUCAGGCACAACGCAGUGAAACCACUGCUUGUGACCAUCUCGUGGUGGGUAACCUCUUGGCAGGUUGUAAAAAAAAAAUGAAAUGAAAUGUGUGCAAUAUAAAUUAACAGUACAGUUAAUUAAAGCCGACCAAUUAAAAAAUAAAAAAUAACAAAACAAUAUUUAAAUAAAUGUACAUGAAAUAAAAAUAAGGCAGAAAUCAGGUAAGGGAAAUGUGCAAACCUGAUUAGGUUGUAAAAAAAAUAAGCAGCCAGAGAAUCCCUCUGGGAUCUUUUUUUUUUUUUAGAUCUUUCUUUUUUAGAUCUCUUUUUUUCAGAUCUCUUUUUUUUUUUUUAGAUCUUUUUUUAUUCUUUCAGGGUAGAUGGAUGAGGUAGGAUGGAGUGGGAGGUGAAGGAAGGUGUUCUUACAGGUGUCCAGUCUCAGGCACGUUGAUGUUGACGUCCUGGAUGGUCUGCUUUUUCUUCUCUCUCCUAUUUCUUUAUCUCCUUGUCCUGCAGCUUAUGCCUCAUUUUUGUCCAUCUCCGUCUGCCGGUCUUUUUUUUUUUUUUAAGUACUGGCAGAUGUUUUCAAGGACUGUUUUGUUGUCCUCUAAUUCUUGGAUCCUGCUGAUAAGGAUCUGUUGUUCUUUGGGGAUGGUAUCCUCCGUUUGUUGGAUCUUAGCGAUCAGGCACAACGCAGUGAAACCACUGCUUGUGACCAUCUCGUGGUGGGUAACCUCUUGGCAGGUUGUAAAAAAAAAAUGAAAUGAAAUGUGUGCAAUAUAAAUUAACAGUACAGUUAAUUAAAGCCGACCAAUUAAAAAAUAAAAAAUAACAAAACAAUAAUUAAAUAAAUGUACAUGAAAUAAAAAUAAUGCAGAAAUGAGGUAAGUGAAAUGUGCAAACCUGAUUAGGUUGUAAAAAAAAUAAGCAGCCAGAGAAUCCCUCUGGGAUCUUUUUUUUCUUUAGAUCUUUCUUUUUUAGAUCUCUUUUUUUCAGAUCUCUUUUUUUUUUUUUUAGAUCUUUUUUUAGUUUUUUCAGGGUAGAUGGAUGAGGUAGGAUGGAG
Long non-coding RNA from Gasterosteus aculeatus aculeatus (three-spined stickleback), 1308 nucleotides. The record is from Ensembl. Lineage: Eukaryota; Metazoa; Chordata; Actinopteri; Perciformes; Gasterosteidae.